Molecule: ribosomal RNA, 526 nt
Filed under: uncultured marine bacterium
Lineage: Bacteria
Description: bacterial SSU rRNA
Rfam family: Bacterial small subunit ribosomal RNA
Source: RNAcentral
UUUGAUCCUGGCUCAGGACGAACGCUGGCGGUGGCUUAAUACUUGCAAGUCGAGCGGACAGAUGGGAGCUUGCUCCCUGAAGUCAGCGGCGGACGGGUGAGUAACACGUGGACAACCUGCCUGUAAGACUGGGAUAACUCCGGGAAACCGGAGCUAAUACCGGAUAAUUUUUUUUCUCCCAUGAGGAAAAGUUGAAAGAUGGUUUCCGCUAUCACUUACAGAUGGGCCCGCGGCGCUUUAGCUAGUUGGUGAGGUAACGGCUCACCAAGGCAACGAUGCGUAGCCGACCUGAGAGGGUGAUCGGCCACACUGGGACUGAGACACGGCCCAGACUCCUACGGGAGGCAGCAGUAGGGAAUCUUCCGCAAUGGACGAAAGUCUGACGGAGCAACCCCCCCCUAGUGAAGAAGGUCUUCUGAUCGUAAAACUCUGUUUGUAGGGAAGAACAAGUACGAGAGUAACUGCUCGUACCUUGUCGGUACCUAACCAGAAAGCCACGGCUAACUACGUGCCAGCAGCCGCGGUA